GGGGAUGUGGCUCAGUGGUAGAGUGCUUGCCUAGCAUGCGUGAGGCACUGGGUUCAAUCCUCAGCACCA
This 69-nucleotide transfer RNA is filed under the name Ictidomys tridecemlineatus (thirteen-lined ground squirrel). RNAcentral describes it as "Spermophilus tridecemlineatus (thirteen-lined ground squirrel) tRNA". It matches the Rfam family "tRNA". Rfam says of the family: Transfer RNA (tRNA) molecules are approximately 80 nucleotides in length. Their secondary structure includes four short double-helical elements and three loops (D, anti-codon, and T loops). Further hydrogen bonds mediate the characteristic L-shaped molecular structure. tRNAs have two regions of fundamental functional importance: the anti-codon, which is responsible for specific mRNA codon recognition, and the 3' end, to which the tRNAs corresponding amino acid is attached (by aminoacyl-tRNA synthetases). tRNAs cope with the degeneracy of the genetic code in two manners: having more than one tRNA (with a specific anti-codon) for a particular amino acid; and 'wobble' base-pairing, i.e. permitting non-standard base-pairing at the 3rd anti-codon position. The record is from Rfam by way of RNAcentral. Lineage: Eukaryota; Metazoa; Chordata; Mammalia; Rodentia; Sciuridae.